RNAcentral lists this ribosomal RNA (497 nucleotides) under uncultured bacterium. RNAcentral describes it as "partial 16S ribosomal RNA". It matches the Rfam family "Bacterial small subunit ribosomal RNA", at positions 28 to 507 of the family's 1533-position model. The record is from RNAcentral.
GAUGAACGCUGGCGGCGUGCCUAAUACAUGCAAGUCGAGCGAACGGACGAGAAGCUUGCUUCUCUGAUGUUAGCGGCGGACGGGUGAGUAACACGUGGAUAACCUACCUAUAAGACUGGGAUAACUUCGGGAAACCGGAGCUAAUACCGGAUAAUAUUUUGAACCGCAUGGUUCAAAAGUGAAAGACGGUCUUGCUGUCACUUAUAGCUGGAUCCGCGCUGCAUUAGCUAGUUGGUAAGGUAACGGCUUACCAAGGCAACGAUGCAUAGCCGACCUGAGAGGGUGAUCGGCCACAUUGGAACUGAGACACGGUCCAGACUCCUACGGGAGGCAGCAGUAGGGAAUCGUCCGCAAUGGGCGAAAGCCUGACGGAGCAACGCCGCGUGAGUGAUGAAGGUCUUCGGAUCGUAAAACUCUGUUAUUAGGGAAGAACAGAUGUGUAAGUAACUGUGCACAUCUUGACGGUACCUAAUCAGAAAGCCACGGCUAACUACGUG